CGGAUCGCUCUCCUAGCACCACCGACCGGCCUAAACCUCUCUGUCGACUCCCUCUCUCUCCCUCCGACCCACCAACACCUGCAGCACCGCACCACCUCUCCAUCAGCGGCACCAAUCCUCUCCAUCACCGCACCACCUCUCCAGCCAAAAAUUGGUCUCCACAAAGUUAGAUUGGGGAUUGAUGCAUGGAGUUGUUUACAGGCUAAGCUGAUCUAUCUAGGGAUGGGUAUCAUUCGGUGACCAGAUGGAGCCCUAAUUGUGUGUGGUUACUGGACCUUUGAUUUUUGGAGCCUAACCAAGUGAAAGAGGAGGGCUGGCUUAGGAUUACUUGAAACUGUUUUGGGACGCCACCUAAUGAGAGCUGGUAAAGAGAUGACUUCUUCUUCUUAACAGACAGGGACGACUGGAAUUCUUUCAAGAUCUUCUGUGUAUGUGUAGAACUUUCUAAUAUAGUAGAGAUCCUAUGUGAACUUUCUAAUAUAGGAAAUUGCCACCUAUUAAGUGGCAUUUCUCUUUUCCUUUGUUAAAGUCCUAUUCUUCGUGAUUUUGGUGCACAUUGACCAAUUAGAAUGUGAACCUUAUUUUCAAGUCAGUUGGGUUCGGGCAUGUAGCCAUAUAAUUAGGAACGUGGGUGCAAUGAGGUAUAUGUGAAUCAUUACGUGAGCUAACGAUCAUUCCCAUUUCAUUU
Molecule: long non-coding RNA, 688 nt
Organism: Rhododendron vialii
Lineage: Eukaryota; Viridiplantae; Streptophyta; Magnoliopsida; Ericales; Ericaceae
Exons: 4
Source: RefSeq, a predicted model, not a curated record